CUACGUGCCAGCAGCCGCGGUAAUACGGAAGGUUCGGGCGUUAUCCGGAUUUAUUGGGUUUAAAGGGAGCGUAGGCUGGAGAUUAAGUGUGUUGUGAAAUGUAGACGCUCAACGUCUGAAUUGCAGCGCAUACUGGUUUCCUUGAGUACGCACAACGUUGGCGGAAUUCGUCGUGUAGCGGUGAAAUGCUUAGAUAUGACGAAGAACUCCGAUUGCGAAGGCAGCUGACGGGAGCGCAACUGACGCUUAAGCUCGAAGGUGCGGGUAUCAAACAGGAUUAGAUACCCUGGUAGUCCGCACAGUAAACGAUGGAUGCCCGCUGUUGGUACCUGGUAUCAGCGGCUAAGCGAAAGCAUUAAGCAUCCCACCUGGGGAGUACGCCGGCAACGGUGAAACUCAAAGGAAUUGACGGGGGCCCGCACAAGCGGAGGAACAUGUGGUUUAAUUCGAUGAUACGCGAGGAACCUUACCCGGGCUUGAA
Molecule: ribosomal RNA, 481 nt
Filed under: uncultured bacterium
Lineage: Bacteria
Description: bacterial SSU rRNA
Rfam family: Bacterial small subunit ribosomal RNA
Source: RNAcentral